Molecule: long non-coding RNA, 6181 nt
Organism: Lagopus muta (rock ptarmigan)
Lineage: Eukaryota; Metazoa; Chordata; Aves; Galliformes; Phasianidae
Exons: 4
Source: RefSeq, a predicted model, not a curated record
AGCCAGGGCAGGCUGGAAGCCUUGCUUAAAAUCAGUGAUUACAGCUCAUGGAGGGUGACUUUAAGGGCUGGAAACUUGUCCUUGGUUCUCAACAGCUUAUCUGGGCAUGUAAGAAGUGUUUGCCAGUAUAUCGUUCUUCUCCUCAGCUUCCUUUGAUUGUUCACCAUCAUAGUGGCUGUUGCAGUUUCUCCUUGCCAUGGACCUUCUUCCUUUCACUGUGAUGAUGGAGUGGAGACAUCCUGGUGGUUCUCUGGUCUGUGUCUUCCUCCUGCUGCAUCCAAGACUGCAGUCCUAACCCAGGCUCGUAGAAUGGCCUGGGUUGAAAAGGACCAUAAUAAUCAUCUAGUUUCAUCCCCUAUGCUGUGUGCAGGGUUGCCAACCAAUAGAGAAAGAAGAGAUCUGCCAGAUCAGGCUAUGCUUCUUACCACUUCCUAAGCCCUCCUGAAGAUGGCUCAGGCACAGUUAACGUCAGCUGCUCCCAAGCCUGCAUGAGAAGCAAGAAGGGCUGUGCUGGGGAAAUCUGACUCCACUGCCAUGAGGACCUGCAGGGAAACAAGAACUGCUGGAUAUGUCCAGAGGAGCCAAAUGGUUGCAGUGGUGCACUGUAAGUCCAAGGGGAGCAUUUGGUAUGCUUUUAAAUAGUCAGCAUGAGUGGUUGGUGGAAUUAAGAGAAGGAGGCUCUCAGCCUUGCAAUCCGGAAAUAUUUGUUAGGAGUGGAAUUUACACUUUCUCGGAGCUCCGUAGGGUAAGAACAAGAGUGGUGUGCAUUUUAGAAUCUUAAACUAGACAAGACAAAGCCCCGGUGGGUGAAACAGUCAGCGAUCCUGCUCAGGGGCAGAGUGAACUGCUGGCCUCUCGUCAUGUGUCUCUUCCAUCCCUCACUUCUGUGAUGCUAUAAAAAAGCCUGAUCCAAUCCUGGGAUUACACAAAGAAUGCGCUGCAACAAAGAGAAGCCCAUGGCCUUUCUGCUCACCCUUUAGUGGUAUUUAGGACCAGAAGAGAGGUUGGUCUGAAUAGUCAGAAUGACAUUCCUGGCCAUGUUUAGCAAAUGUUAUCUGGGUUGAGCGGAAAAAUAUGUGCCCUCUUAUUAGAAUAUUUUCUCCAUGUUCUCCUUUAAUCCAGGUGUCAAAUGGAGGCAAUGACGACCAUUGAAGCCAUUCUUGUGUGUCUGAGAAGAUAUUUCUUCCUGCCUCUGUGAGAAUGGGCCAGUCCCAAGUGCCACUCUACAAUUAGGAUAUUAAUAGCCCUAUUACUCUGUGCCAUCUAGUUUGCUUUAAAAUUCAUGGUGCAGUUAGAUGAGAUUUGUUCAUAACAGGAAAAGUACAGAUGUGCAGGAAGACUGAGUCAGAACAGAGCUUUGAAAUGCAUCAAGCAACCAUUUAAUUAAAGAAGGGUGCUCUAAUAUUGUGUUCCAAAUGAUUACUUAUUUAUAUACUCCUAUACUCCUGCUAUUUUUAAACCGGAUUUUGAAGAGAAGACAAUUUAUAUUUCAACGUGAGGACAGCCUUAAAGCUAAAUGAGCUGCCAGCACUGUGCUGCCCAGGAGGAGCAGGAAAAGAAAAUACUCCACAUCCUCCCUAGUUCUUCUGCUGCCUUCCAGCACUGUAGUGCCAUCUGGAAUUGUGCUGCUCAGUGCCCGCAGCCUUGCCACCGUAUCAUUGAAUCAGUAAGGUUGGAAAAGACCACUAAAAUCAUGUAGUCCAACCAUCAGCCCAAAUCCCCACCACGUCCACAGAACAAUCUCCGUCAGUGCCACGUCUACAUGGUUCUUGAACGCCUCCAGGAAUGGUGACUCCACCACCUCCCUGAGCAGCCUGUUCUGAUGCCUGACCACACCUCCUGCCAAGUGUGGGGAUGUUUUCCAAAUGCUGAGCAUCCUGUGCAAUAUAAUGCUCCAGGGAACAAAAAGCUGAGCCAUGUGUCUUGACGCAGCUCUCUCCAGUUGUUGUAAGGAUGUGCUUGGAGUUGUUGGUGAUCAUAAGCCUGGAUAGAUGGAUGGGAAGAACUGUGGGCUUUGUGGGGAGUUAUGCCUUCUGGUAUUUUGAGCUUGUAGUUUGUGGGCUUCCACAAACUGAGGUGCAGGCAGGACUUCAAGCUGAAACAAAAUCAAAGGCAAACAUUGCAUCCGAGUGAUGAGCUUCCUCCUUCCCUCCUCUGAUAUUGGAUGAGUGCACCACUGUGGGAUCUGAACCCAGAGAUUUAGCUGGACACUAUUUCACAUAUGUUCUGCACUAGUCUGAAUAACUGCAAGAGUUCCAAGGAAAUAAAUGUUAACUCCCAUAAAUCUUCAAAAACUUGAGUUUUUCUUAGGAGAAGAGCUGAGAAAGGCUUUUGUGGGAAAGCAUGAAUGUUUGCUGAGUUCCUGAAUAAAUCUUAGCCCAGUUUGAGAGAUUCAAAAGAGCGGUGGCUUCUCCCAGUUCCUUCCCAAACAAAAGGCUGGACCCAAGUGCACUGAAGUCAUAGAGAAUGAGUCUCAUUGACAUCAAAGAGUGCUGAAUCGGACGGGAUGAAGGACAGCCUCAGCCAGGGACCAGAAGAAAUGAAAGCAUGUGAUGUACGUGACCAACAACCACUAACCAACCGCCCAGAUUCCAGCACUGAGCCCUGCAAACAGUGAACUUGCAAACAAUUCAUGAAGAUGUGCCAAAAAAAUUCAAAGAAAAAUAUGUAAGGAAACGGCAAUGUGUUUGUGGGUAUUCUGUGAGCAGAAAAAUAUGUUAUAUUUGUGGAAUAAAUUAGUCCGUGGGAAGUAUUCUCUCAGCUCUCUCAGCUGUGUGCAGCUAAGCCAGCUAAUCGAAUGCAAGCUUUUCUUCUGCUGCCAAAGGAAGCAGAUAAGUAUGGAGACAUGGAUGAAACAAGCUUCAAUUUGCUUUUAAGAAAGGAGUUGCUGGUCACAUCUCAUUUCAGUAGUUCUCAUCUUCUGGAUGGUCAUUUUUUGCUGCUGUUUAAAUGCUUCGGUUUAUUCUCUCAUGAAUACUAACAAGCUUUGGCUUGUCUGUAUCAGCUUGUGCAUGUAGCUUGUUUAUCCAUAUCAGAUGCUGCAAAGUUCAUCCCAUCUCUUAUCUCCAUCUGAUUAGAUUACCGCAGUGUCCCAUCGUGGGUUGGCUGGGCUGCUUCUUCUCAUGGGGAAUGCCACCACUGUGAGGACAUCGUGUGUCAGUGGUAACCCAGAGCAUUUCAUUCUGACACCAUCAUGCCUUUCUCUGGCUGCAAAGGUGCAGGAUUAACUGAGGGUGAGAAGAGUCCUUGGUCCAGAUGGAUUAGAAAAUCAGGUAACAGCAGGAGCAGACCUAUCUGUCAUGGUGAGCAAGAGCUGUGCAGAGGCAAUGUAGUGAAGGACUGAGGAUCAGACUCAGACCUGCUGUUCAUAUAUUUGGUCCUCUGCAGAUGGACAUGUUCAGGGCUGCUUGGGGAUUGAAGUGUGCUUUGUCUGUGGGUUCUCAGGAUAUUAAAGGAUCCACUGAAUAAUGGCCUCAAGUUGCACCAGGGGUGGUUCAGGUUGGAUAUUAGGAAACAUUUCUUCAGAAAGAGUGGUGAGGCACUGGCACAGUGCUGCCCAGGGAGGUGGUGGAGUCACUGUCCUGAAGGUGUUCGAGAACUGUGUGGAUGUGGCACUGAGGGAUGUGGUUAGUGAGCAUGAUGGGAUGGGCUGACAGUUGGACUGAAUGUUCUUAAUGGUCUUUUUAGACCUUAGUGAUUUUAUGAUUCUGUGAUUUAGAUCUUCCUUCUGGGGAUCUUGAACUUGGUUGUGAGGAGUGGAGCAAAUGUGCAUGUCUGCAGCCAGGGAGUGGUGAUUUCUGGUGGUAGCUAUGAAGACUCUGCCAGGAGCUGUGUGUGUACCUAUGAUUAUUGGACACAUGUAGCCCACACCUAAAAUUAGCCAUCCAGAAUCAAAAGCAAAGGAAUGAAGGGUAUUUGGUGUGAAAAUACAGAAAAGCCAAGGAGUUUUUGUAGAUGAGAGACCAGACUCUUGGAAAUAGAGAAAGGUGGGACUCCAGGACAAAUUUGUUUACCUGCACAUUCUGGCAACCAAGACAGCUGCUCAGUGCAGGUUUGGGUAUGAGGAUUACAACUGCAUUCACCAAAAGAAGAGCAGAUUCAGCUGGGCUUCUAAGAUGGGGCAGCAACCAGAGGCAGAGUACUCAUGACUGUCCCACUGCUGGAAGGCCAACUCUGCCUGGAGGUGGGCAGGAAUAGACACAGGUGGGCAUAAAUGCUCUCAGACACCAACCAGUUCCAGUCCUCAUCAAUCUUCUUUCCAUCAAGCAUCACAAAGUGCUCUACAGACCCAAUGACCUUGUCACAACUCUUUCCCAUCAGGAAAUUAAAGCAUGUGAGAUGUCUUCCUCAAGAUCACUCAUUAGACCAGCAUGGCACAGGCUGCAUGUUGAUCAGCUCACCAAGGAUAACAUAUCUCCCUGGCAAGUCCCUGUCACUAACACCAGCAUGUGCCCUCGUUGCCUUUCAGCCACUCAACCAGCUGCUUCUGCUUGCUGCACAAUCAAAAUCCUGUUUGAUAUGGUCCUGCUGCUGCUGCUGUCACUUAUGACCGCUCUUACCUUCAACCAGACUGCUAUUUUGUAGGGGUUUUUUUCAGUGUCUUUUUCCUUCUUUGCAUUAAGUGCAGUGAGGGCCUUUGUGUGGCAGAUGCUGCUCAGCAUUAAUUGCUUUGCCUUGCGAUUGUGUUCUCAUAUAGUGAUUUUCAGGUGCAGCAGUUGAUGCAUUAGGGCUGUCACUUUUCAUACCCUUUCAGAGAGCACCAUGUUUUCAUCUCUUACAACCAAUGCUUCCUCACUCUUUGCUCCUCCUAGCAUAAACUAUUUUCCAAUUGCCAAGGCUUGCACACCAAUGCCUCACCUUUUGUCUGCCACAGACAAAGGGCUACUCUGAGACUGCUGCUCUGAGACUCAUUGAAGUUCACAGCAUUAGUUGUUUAAAAGUGAUUUUUUUUUUUUGAAGCUACCAUGUCCAAUGUGCUUAGUGGUGCGUGCUGGCUUGCUGCAGUGAUGCUCAGUUUGGGUGUCUGCAUGCUUGGCCAUGCUUCUGCUGAUCAGGGAAAUGCCUGGAGGGGCCUUGGGAUGGAAAUCCCUUGGGCAAGUGCUGGGUUUUUCAUGUUUCCAUUAAGCCUUGGGAUAGCCUCUGUGCUACCAUUUAAGCAGCUCUCUCCCCCUGCCCUGAUGAUGCCAUAGAGAAAUAGGAAGAGAGCAGACCAGUCUGAAUUGUGACCACCCACCACAGGCCUUUCUGCACAAGGAAGAAAUGCUGCAGCAAGCACUUGGCAUGAGAUUGCCUUGGCAGUCUCACAGGAGCAGGUUUACUGUAGUGCAUUGAAUGAGCUUUUGCCAUUUGUCUCAAUUAACACCACGGUUGGUGACACAAGAUGGCAGCUGCUGUCUUUGUGGUUGUAUCCACCACUGACAUCCUGCUUGAGUGCUUCAGAAGCCAGGCUGGUGACUCAGCCCUGAAUUCAAAUUCUUUGGUCUGAUCUGACUGAGUGGGUAAACACAUCUAAAAAAUGUGUAUCAACUCAAAACAGCCCAUAACUUUUGGGUUACCCUGCCCUGCAAGGACUGUCCUGCAGAUUGUGGUCUCCCACUUCUGAACUGAGGUAGAGGGGUACUGUUUCAAGUUCUCAGGGGUCUGAACUUCAAAUGCAGCUUUUGGUCCUGCACUGGUUACAAGAUCUCCCUGGACUCUUGUCUUUGUCUGCAUGCACAGGCCUGAGGAGUAACAAUAAUUGUUCCCUCGUGCCUUCAUGGUGCAAAGGAAAUGCUGCUGGCCACAUCUAGUUACUUUCCACUUAACCAUUUUUAAUGAUGAACCAGCCUUCAACUGGCAAUAAUUCAUAUUUACAGUAAUUAACAUUCAGGGACUGGAAGAUGUAGGAAGAGUUCACCAAACCAAUGCACCUGGACAGGAUGAUGGGAGUUAGACUCAGAGGUGGACAGAACCUAGACUUAUUUUCAUUUUUUAGGGACUUGGUUAGCUCUGGUCUGUUUAUAGUUGGCUGUUCCACUCUGCUUUCAGAAGCUUUGCUAUGCUUCUCACUGGUGCUACUCCGAGCAUUCAUUCCUGCAUUGUCCAUUUUUGUCCAUGGCUAAGGUGGCUUCCAUGAUCUUCUCCAGGAUUUCAUUUGCCCAUCUCAAGGAUAAAGCUGGGAGAGUUCAGUGGCUUCGAAGAG